This 253-nucleotide ribosomal RNA is filed under the name uncultured bacterium. Its description in RNAcentral is "partial 16S ribosomal RNA". It matches the Rfam family "Bacterial small subunit ribosomal RNA", at positions 524 to 776 of the family's 1533-position model. The record is from RNAcentral.
UACGUAGGGUGCAAGCGUUGUCCGGAAUUAUUGGGCGUAAAGAGCUCGUAGGCGGUUUGUCGCGUCUGCUGUGAAAACCCGAGGCUCAACCUCGGGCCUGCAGUGGGUACGGGCAGACUAGAGUGCGGUAGGGGAGAGUGGAAUUCCUGGUGUAGCGGUGGAAUGCGCAGAUAUCAGGAGGAACACCGGUGGCGAAGGCGGGUCUCUGGGCAGCAACUGACGCUGAGGCGCGAAAGCGUGGGGAGCGAACAGG